Lathyrus oleraceus (garden pea) is the source of this 923-nucleotide long non-coding RNA. RefSeq lists it as uncharacterized. The transcript is spliced from 2 exons. NCBI's taxonomy places the organism in Eukaryota, Viridiplantae, Streptophyta, Magnoliopsida, Fabales, Fabaceae. The record is from RefSeq and is a predicted model, not a curated record.
UAUGGUGUGCAAGCAGAAAAUUGGUGCAGGGCCCAUGGUGAAGGCCCAUUACCAAUUUCUAGAUCUGAGGCAGGGGGUGUGCUAUCAUAUUCAUGGUUCACAACAGAAUAAAGCAUAGGCCCAUGCAGUGGAAGGCCCAAAGCAACAUAUGGGAGGAGCAAGGUAAUGUGUUAAGAUUUCAAAUGAAAUUCAAAAACAUGCGUGCAACCAAAAACAUGUUCAAAUUACUUAAACUUCCUCACCACCGUCCUCCACCACGCCUGAGGUCGCCUCUGGCGGCGGCGGAACACCAAAACACAAAUUAAAACCAACACCAUAAUCAUGACAACCCGCUCAUGCCAAAUAUAUAAUCAAUUUCAUUUGAAUCCUACUCUAAAGCUCAAACCGAAGAGGAAACUCCAAGAACCCUAGAGCUUCAAAGUUAAAUUAAAUCACGUUUUUGAGGAAUCAAAGCCCAAGAGGUUGGGUCUUUGAUUCCUCUCUCCUCAACCUACAGCGUGGUGUCAAGAACGCAAUGAAAAAUGAAGGAUUUGAAUUGUCACCUUGUCGGAGAAGACAAACUGGAAACCAGAGCUCAGGGCAGGCCUAGCAUGGUUCCGAGGCAAGGUUCAAUGCAAAGUUUCAAUGCAUGGCAAGUGUUCAAGGCAUGACCAAGUUUCAAGGCAUUUGAUGCAAAAAUGAAGUUUCUUGUUCAUGAAGAAACAUGAUGAUGAAAUAUCAUGAAAUGAUGCUAGAAUGUAGAUGUAACUAGCAUUAGGGUUUAAGAGAUGGAAAAAUGUGAUAGUUGACUUUGGUUAACUGGUUGACCAAAAAAUCAACAAUUGACCAAAAGUCAACUUUUGUAGAAAAUGCAUUUUUUGAUAUUUUAUUUUGUAAUGGAAAAUGUACAUGUUAAUUUAAUGAAUGAACGAACAUUUAUUGGA